RNAcentral lists this long non-coding RNA (223 nucleotides) under Sorghum bicolor (sorghum). RNAcentral's name for it is "long non-coding RNA (SBIC_LNC003094)". The record is from RNAcentral. Lineage: Eukaryota; Viridiplantae; Streptophyta; Magnoliopsida; Poales; Poaceae.
UUCAUUAUUUAUUUAGAAGAGCAUUUGCAUAUUUCAAUACUGCGUCUCUUAUAUCAUGCUGGGGAUGACAACUUGGCUUAAGUGUUGUGAGGGAUAGGUUUGGCAUUUUUGGCACCGUUACUAGAUUUAGAGAACUUAGUCUACUUUUGGUAAUGAUGUUAAGAAUACCCAACAGUCGGAAGCAGCUGAAAGAAAUGCAUCGGUAGAUCCCAAGCAUCAGGUC